Molecule: ribosomal RNA, 513 nt
Filed under: uncultured bacterium
Lineage: Bacteria
Description: bacterial SSU rRNA
Rfam family: Bacterial small subunit ribosomal RNA
Source: RNAcentral
AGAGUUUGAUCAUGGCUCAGGAUGAACGCUGGCGGCGUGCUUAACACAUGCAAGUCGAACGGAGUGUAAACGCUGAAGCGAUUUCGGUCAAUUCUUGUUUAUACUUAGUGGCGGACGGGUGAGUAACGCGUGGGUAACCUGCCGUAUGCAGGGGGACAACAGUUGGAAACGACUGCUAAUACCGCAUAAGCGCACAGUACCGCAUGGUAUAGUGUGAAAAGAUCUAUCGGCAUACGAUGGACCCGCGUCUGAUUAGCUAGUUGGUGAGGUAACGGCCCACCAAGGCGACGAUCAGUAGCCGGCCUGAGAGGGUGAACGGCCACAUUGGGACUGAGACACGGCCCAAACUCCUACGGGAGGCAGCAGUGGGGAAUAUUGGACAAUGGGGGAAACCCUGAUCCAGCCGACGCCGCGUGAGUGAAGAAGUAUUUCGGUAUGUAAAGCUCUAUCAGCAAGGAAGAAAAUGACGGUACUUGACUAAGAAGCUCCGGCUAAAUACGUGCCAGCAGCAGC